GACGAACGCUGGCGGCGUGCUUAACACAUGCAAGUCGAACGAAGAACGAUGGAAGCUUGCUUCUAUCAAUCUUAGUGGCGAACGGGUGAGUAACGCGUAAUCAACCUGCCCUUCAGAGGGGGACAACAGUUGGAAACGACUGCUAAUACCGCAUACGAUCUGACCUCGGCAUCGAGGAUAGAUGAAAGGUGGCCUCUACAUGUAAGCUAUCACUGAAGGAGGGGAUUGCGUCUGAUUAGCUAGUUGGAGGGGUAACGGCCCACCAAGGCGAUGAUCAGUAGCCGGUCUGAGAGGAUGAACGGCCACAUUGGGACUGAGACACGGCCCAGACUCCUACGGGAGGCAGCAGUGGGGAAUCUUCCGCAAUGGACGAAAGUCUGACGGAGCAACGCCGCGUGAGUGAUGACGGCCUUCGGGUUGUAAAGCUCUGUUAAUCGGGACGAAAGGCCUUUUUGCGAAUAGUGAGAAGGAUUGACGGUACCGGAAUAGAAAGCCACGGCUAACUACGUG
RNAcentral lists this ribosomal RNA (510 nucleotides) under uncultured bacterium. RNAcentral's name for it is "partial 16S ribosomal RNA". It matches the Rfam family "Bacterial small subunit ribosomal RNA", at positions 28 to 507 of the family's 1533-position model. The record is from RNAcentral.